UUCCGACGCGCAGAGUGUACGUGACCAGGAGCACAUUUUGAUUUUUGAACGCAAAAAAUGCCUAGAAUACGCAAACGAAAGACUACAAGAGUACAGUGCAGCUUGAAUCAGUAUGAAGAUGCUUACAAAGAAACUAAACGCGGGACUUCUUUGCGACAAGCUGCGGAAAUGCAUGAUGUUAAUCGCAUGUCACUAUUAAGGUAUAUUCGAAAACGCGAUAAUGCCAGCACGGGCGAUAGUGAAAACAAUAGCAUUAGCAUGGGGUAUGUUUCUCACAAUAAAGUGUUUUCCGAACAACAAGAGCAGCAGUUGUCAAAAUAUUUACAGCGUUGCGCGGACAUUUAUUUCGGACUUACUCCAAAAGAGGUGCGGAAGUUGGCUUUUGAGCUUGCAACUCAAUAUAACCUAAAGCAACCUGCUACUUGGGAAAUCUCUAAAAUCUCAAUGAGCCGAAAGGAAAAGGAAAAGGUAAAGCAACGAAAAGGAAACAAUCACCGUCAAUAUCAGAUGAAGAAGAAUAUUUUUGUUUGGUGUGCCUUGGUCCAUAUUCUGAAAGUAGGCCUGGCGAAAAAUGGAUUAAACGCCAAGGAAAGUGUAACCUUUGGGCCCAUGUAGACUGUACAAAUGGUAGUCGGUAUUAUAUUUGUCACAACUGUGAUGAGUCGGAUUAGAUUAGUUGUCAAACUUACUUUUAUAAAUUUUCACAUGCUACAUUUCUAAAAAAAUAUUUGAGUUCCUGUUUAAAAGAUUUUGAGCAUGUUGUUUUGUUUUGAGUUUAGUUUCAAAAUAGACGAGAGUUUAUGAAGACUGACUGUACUAAUGAAGACUACUGAUUGUAACCAAAGAUCCUAUAGUGCCUUAUAUGUUGUAAGAAAUUAAAAUGUUCAAAGAUUUUAUUUCUUUUGUUAGGAAAGUAUAAUUUAGUUGAUUAUUAUAUAAAAAUAAAUAAAUAUUUUUUGCAA
Colias croceus (clouded yellow) is the source of this 962-nucleotide long non-coding RNA. RefSeq lists it as uncharacterized. The transcript has 2 exons. The record is from RefSeq and is a predicted model, not a curated record. NCBI's taxonomy places the organism in Eukaryota, Metazoa, Arthropoda, Insecta, Lepidoptera, Pieridae.